RNAcentral lists this ribosomal RNA (515 nucleotides) under uncultured archaeon. RNAcentral's name for it is "bacterial SSU rRNA". It matches the Rfam family "Archaeal small subunit ribosomal RNA", at positions 345 to 859 of the family's 1478-position model. The record is from RNAcentral.
AACCUUUACAAUGCACGAAAGUGUGAUAGGGGGAUACUCAGUGCUUACGUUUAUGACGUAGGCUUUUGUCGAUCGUAAACAGAUCGGCGAAUAAGUGGUGGGUAAGACCGGUGCCAGCCGCCGCGGUAACCCCGGCGCCACGAGUGGUUAUCACGAUUAUUGGGCCUAAGGCGUUCGUAGCCGGUUUGGUAAAUCUCUUGUGAAAUUGUUCGGCUUAACCGGACAGCGUGCAGGAGACACUGCCAGACUCGAGACCGGGAGGCGUGUGAAGUAUGCCGUGGGGACUGGUAAAAUGGGAUAAUCCACGGUAGACUACCGAUGGCGAAGGCAUCACACGAGAACGGAUCUGACGGUGAGGAACGAAAGCUAGGGGAGCGAACCGGAUUAGAUACCCGAGUAGUCCUAGCCGUAAACGCUGCGAGCAAGGUGUCGCGCAUCUCACGAAGAUGCGCGGUGUCGAAAUGAAGAUGCUAAGCUCGCCGCCUGGGAAGUACGGUCGCAAGACUGAAACUUUA